ACGCACGCUGGCGGCGUGCUUAACCCCUGCACGUCGCACGGAAAGGCCCUGCUUUUGUGGGGUGCUCGAGUGGCGAACGGGUGAGUAACACGUGAGUAACCUGCCCUUGACUUUGGGAUAACUUCAGGAAACUGGGGCUAAUACCGGAUAGGAGCUCCUGCUGCAUGGUGGGGGUUGGAAAGUUUCGGCGGUUGGGGAUGGACUCGCGGCUUAUCAGCUUGUUGGUGGGGUAGUGGCUUACCAAGGCUUUGACGGGUAGCCGGCCUGAGAGGGUGACCGGCCACAUUGGGACUGAGAUACGGCCCAGACUCCUACGGGAGGCAGCAGUGGGGAAUAUUGCACAAUGGGCGGAAGCCUGAUGCAGCAACGCCGCGUGCGGGAUGACGGCCUUCGGGUUGUAAACCGCUUUCGCCUAUGACGAAGCGUGAGUGACGGUAAUGGGUAAAGAAGCACCGGCUAACUACGUG
RNAcentral lists this ribosomal RNA (467 nucleotides) under uncultured bacterium. RNAcentral's name for it is "partial 16S ribosomal RNA". It matches the Rfam family "Bacterial small subunit ribosomal RNA", at positions 29 to 507 of the family's 1533-position model. The record is from RNAcentral.